RNAcentral lists this ribosomal RNA (468 nucleotides) under uncultured bacterium. RNAcentral describes it as "partial 16S ribosomal RNA". It matches the Rfam family "Bacterial small subunit ribosomal RNA", at positions 28 to 507 of the family's 1533-position model. The record is from RNAcentral.
GGCGAACGCUGGCGGCGUGCUUAACACAUGCAAGUCGAACGGAAAGGCCCUGCUUUUGUGGGGUGCUCGAGUGGCGAACGGGUGAGUAACACGUGAGUAACCUGCCCUUGACUUUGGGAUAACUUCAGGAAACUGGGGCUAAUACCGGAUAGGAGCUCCUGCUGCAUGGUGGGGGUUGGAAAGUUUCGGCGGUUGGGGAUGGACUCGCGGCUUAUCAGCUUGUUGGUGGGGUAGUGGCUUACCAAGGCUUUGACGGGUAGCCGGCCUGAGAGGGUGACCGGCCACAUUGGGACUGAGAUACGGCCCAGACUCCUACGGGAGGCAGCAGUGGGGAAUAUUGCACAAUGGGCGGAGGCCUGAUGCAGCAACGCCGCGUGCGGGAUGACGGCCUUCGGGUUGUAAACCGCUUUCGCCUGUGACGAAGCGUGAGUGACGGUAAUGGGUAAAGAAGCACCGGCUAACUACGUG